Molecule: ribosomal RNA, 253 nt
Filed under: uncultured bacterium
Lineage: Bacteria
Description: partial 16S ribosomal RNA
Rfam family: Bacterial small subunit ribosomal RNA
Source: RNAcentral
UACGUAGGGUGCAAGCGUUGUCCGGAAUUAUUGGGCGUAAAGAGCUCGUAGGCGGUUCGUCGCGUCGGCUGUGAAAACCCGGAGCUCAACUCCGGGCCUGCAGUCGAUACGGGCGGACUCGAGUUCGGCAGGGGAGACUGGAAUUCCUGGUGUAGCGGUGAAAUGCGCAGAUAUCAGGAGGAACACCAAUGGCGAAGGCAGCUCGCUGGGACGGUACUGACGCUGAGACGCGAAAGCGUGGGGAGCAAACAGG